Non-coding RNA from Paramuricea clavata, 120 nucleotides. Lineage: Eukaryota; Metazoa; Cnidaria; Anthozoa; Malacalcyonacea; Plexauridae. The record is from the annotation of a GenBank genome assembly.
AAGACUGUGCUAACAAGUUUGUUACAGCCAUGAUAUAACGAGGAUGUUACAAGGUUGUCAACACAAGGUUGUAACAAUCUUGUUAUAUCAAGCAUGUAACGAACUUGUCAGAACAACCUU